This 253-nucleotide ribosomal RNA is filed under the name uncultured bacterium. RNAcentral's name for it is "partial 16S ribosomal RNA". It matches the Rfam family "Bacterial small subunit ribosomal RNA", at positions 524 to 776 of the family's 1533-position model. The record is from RNAcentral.
UACGUAGGGGGCUAGCGUUGUCCGGAAUCAUUGGGCGUAAAGCGCGUGUAGGCGGUCCGGUAAGUCCGCUGUGAAAGUCGAGGGCUCAACCCUCGAAUGCCGGUGGAUACUGUCGGGCUAGAGUGCGGAAGAGGCGAGUGGAAUUCCUGGUGUAGCGGUGAAAUGCGCAGAUAUCAGGAGGAACACCAAUGGCGAAGGCAGCUCGCUGGGACGUGACUGACGCUGAGACGCGAAAGCGUGGGGAGCAAACAGG